This 434-nucleotide ribosomal RNA is filed under the name uncultured Ruminococcus sp. RNAcentral describes it as "bacterial SSU rRNA". It matches the Rfam family "Bacterial small subunit ribosomal RNA", at positions 341 to 792 of the family's 1533-position model. The record is from RNAcentral. Lineage: Bacteria; Bacillati; Bacillota; Clostridia; Eubacteriales; Oscillospiraceae.
ACGGGAGGCAGCAGUGGGGAAUAUUGCACAAUGGGCGCAAGCCUGAUGCAGCGAUGCCGCGUGAGGGAAGAAGGUUUUCGGAUUGUAGACCUCUGUCAACAGGGACGAAAAUGACUGUACCUGUGAAGGAAGCUCCGGCUAACUACGUGCCAGCAGCCGCGGUAAUACGUAGGGAGCGAGCGUUAUCCGGAAUUACUGGGUGUAAAGGGAGUGUAGGCGGGACUGUAAGUCAGAUGUGAAAUAUGCCGGCUCAACUGGCAGACUGCAUUUGAAACUGCGGUUCUUGAGUGAAGUAGAGGUAAGCGGAAUUCCUAGUGUAGCGGUGAAAUGCGUAGAUAUUGGGAGGAACAUCAGUGGCGAAGGCGGCUUACUGGGCUUUAACUGACGCUGAGGCUCGAAAGCGUGGGGAGCAAACAGGAUUAGAUACCCUGGUA